RNAcentral lists this ribosomal RNA (388 nucleotides) under uncultured bacterium. Its description in RNAcentral is "bacterial SSU rRNA". It matches the Rfam family "Bacterial small subunit ribosomal RNA", at positions 28 to 426 of the family's 1533-position model. The record is from RNAcentral.
GACGAACGCUGGCGGCGUACUUAACACAUGCAAGUCACGGGGGGCCCGCAAGGGUAACCGGCGAACGGGCGCGUAACACGUAAGCGACCUGCCGAUCUGCGGGGGAUAGCCGGCCCAACGGCCGGGUAAUACCGCAUACGCUCUCUGGGUUACAUGGCCUGGGGAGGAAACCUCCGGGGCGGAUCGAGGGGCUUGCGGCCUAUCAGCUAGUUGGUGAGGUAACGGCUCACCAAGGCGGUGACGGGUAGCUGGUCUGAGAGGAUGGCCAGCCACAUUGGGACUGAGAGACGGCUCAGACUCCUACGGGAGGCAGCAGUGGGGAAUCUUGCGCAAUGGGCGAAAGCCUGACGCAGCGACGCCGCGUGGGGGAUGACGCAUUUCGGUGUGU